CUACGGGGGGCAGCAGUGGGGAAUAUUGGGCAAUGGGCGCAAGCCUGACCCAGCAACGCCGCGUGAGGGAAGAAUGUCUUCGGAUUGUAAACCUCUGUCCUUGGGGACGAAAAAAAUGACGGUACCCAAGGAGGAAGCUCUGGCUAACUACGUGCCAGCAGCCGCGGUAAUACGUAGGGAGCAAGCGUUGUCCGGAAUUAUUGGGCGUAAAGGGUGCGUAGGCGGCGCUGUAAGUCAGAUGUGAAAUCCCCGGGCUUAACUCGGGAGUUGCAUUUGAAACUACAGUGCUUGAGUAAAGAAGGGGUAAGUGGAAUUCCUAGUGUAGCGGUGGAAUGCGUAGAUAUUAGGAGGAACACCAGUGGCGAAGGCGACUUACUGGUCUUUUACUGACGCUGAGGCACGAAAGCGUGGGGAGCAAACAGGAUUAGAUACCCCUGUAGUC
RNAcentral lists this ribosomal RNA (442 nucleotides) under uncultured bacterium. Its description in RNAcentral is "partial 16S ribosomal RNA". It matches the Rfam family "Bacterial small subunit ribosomal RNA", at positions 339 to 795 of the family's 1533-position model. The record is from RNAcentral.